Molecule: long non-coding RNA, 1622 nt
Organism: Thamnophis elegans (Western terrestrial garter snake)
Lineage: Eukaryota; Metazoa; Chordata; Lepidosauria; Squamata; Natricidae
Exons: 2
Source: RefSeq, a predicted model, not a curated record
UCGGGCGACCCCUGGGAAAAGGCCCUUCCACCCCCAGGAGGAGAACCGCCGGGCCAGGAGCCAAGCAGCCGAAGGGAUCCCGGGAAGGGACGGAGCUCAGCCCGAGGGGAUCCCGGGAGGCCAUUGGGAGCAGAGGGAGCCGAGGAGGGACGGGGGAUCCACUGGAAAGCCAGGGAUCCCAAGGGGGGGAGAAGCGGAUCCCAGGAGGGGAUCCCCCCACCCUUUCCUGCAGGGGGGGGAAAGGACCCCUCCUCCUCCUCCUCCCUUUGGGGCUGAGCAGGGGGGAGACAGGCAGCCACUGACACGAGGGAUCCUGGGGGGCUCCCCGAGUUUGCCCUUUUUCUUGCAGGCAUUUCAAGGAAGCUCCGGCAGCACCAAGGAUCCCUGAAAUCCUUGCCUGCCUCUCCUUGUUUUAAACAAAAGGGCCAAAUAAAUGGAGUAAAGCCAGUCCUUCUUUAUGGUUCAUUUCAUGGACUAAACUGACAGGCCGUCCGUGUCUCAGACUCUGGGCAAACUUCCCCUCUGUGUGGAGUGGGUGGAAAUGAGGAGAUCUCGGGAAUCCCAGGGUGGAACCUUCCCCAGCAUUCACGGCUACUGAAAGGAAAUACAAGACAAAGGCCUCUUAAUCAAAGCCUGAAAUGGGAAGAACGGAAGUUUUGCCUUUGUGUCCAUUGGAGACUUCAGACCACGUUGCAAAUUUAGCCUUCAGCUGGUUAACCUGCUCCCAUUUAACAGGCUUGUAAAUCUAACAAGUAAAGAGAGAAAUGCAUUCAGCCUCAAUUCCAGUGUAAUCUUUUAUUUCUGGAAUAGUUAAAUGUAACGUGGAUUCUACACUGGGCUUUGUUUUAAAAAGGCACCAAGGAGCCCCCAGAUCCGAAUCCAGCAUCUCCAGCCCCAGGUGGGGUCUCGGUCCGGGUGGCGCCAAGCUCUGCUUCUUCCCCUCUUCCUCCCUUCUCCAGAGCCACUGCAGUGCCAGCGGAGAUCCGGGCGAGUACAACCUGCGUUCUCGCACAGUGUUGUGUGGCACAUGUGGGCAGCCGGCAGAGAAGUCAUCCGGGGGCACGAAUGUGGGCACCAGCACCAUGUCCACCGGCUCCUCCUCCUCCAGCUUGACCAUCACGCGCAGCUACCGCAGUGGAGGCACCAACCUCGGGGAGAGCCUCCUGCCCCGCUCCUACAUCCUGGCAGCUCCACCCCACGCCAGCAGGGUCCUUCAAACUGCAGCAUCAUGUAAUCGUCCGAUGUUCCCGACAUGCACUCAAAUCUGCUUUAUGGAGCUCUCUGUCCUUUGCCUGCUCAGAAAAAGAGGAAACCAUUUUUAAAAGAAGUUAUUUUCUAUGCAAGAAUUUAUACUUUAUUACAUAUAUCUAUAUCUAUAUCUAUAUAUCUCUAUAUAUAAAUAUGCUAAAGAUGCUUCAGGUUUUUUAAGGGGGUGUGGGGGGGUCUUUUUUCUAUCUCAAAGGUUUAACAGGAAGUUUAAAACCUGCCAAAGAAGUGAAUCUAUUACUGCCAAAAAGGAAAAAAGUCCUAGAAUUGUCAUAUGUUUCUUCUAGUAAGGGGGAGCCUGCAAAAGGACAGGAUCCGUCUGUGUGUCUGCUUGAAUACCAAAGUUUUCUUUGAAA